UUGUUUUAUUUCCCCCCGUUGAACCAUAGUCAUUCCCAUUACUUUCCCUCUUAGUGAAUUUCUCUCUUCAUCCCCAUCCCUAAGUACGUACCAUCGUUGUGAUACCCACCCCUGCACGGCAUGACCAGGAUCUUCAAUCCCCACCCAAGCUUGUAUUCCUCCAUUUCGUUAGCCUUCCCAGCGGAAGCUACAGUGCGUCGUCUUCUCAUCCCUUUACAAUCGGGUGCCCUGCAAUUGGGGAUUUGAAGCAUUUGAUUUUUCAACCAUUUUGAGCAAAUUGAAGGUGGAGAUUUGUGAGUCGAGACUCUUGUUUACCUUCCGUCAUCACAGGACACCAAUAUAAGAAGAAUUUGCAGCAGGUUACCCAUCCAAGGAGGAGUGGCAUGGCUAUAUAAAUAAUAACGACAUGGUGCUUCUUAAGGUCUUCACUUCAAGUUAGCUGUGGAAACAAUGUCCUGAAAGUGAAGAUGAGACUAAAAGUUGCCAACGAGAAGAAAAGUUCGUAAUUUUUCACGAUCAAAAUGGGUCAUAAACUACUCGUCACCUACAUCUGCUGGUGCUGAGUGCAUUGAUCCUGAUUGUACAUGGGUAGAACAAUGGUAAAUAUCGAUCUUUUACUCUCUUAUAGGCAGUGGUGAAAUCCUAGAGUAUGCAACUGUCUGAAAGGACUAGAAAAUUUUAAGCAUGCAUCACUAAACUACCAUGCAUAGGCAAUGCUCUAGUAUAUGUCCCAUAUACUUUAGCUCUUGCCUAUUGUUAUGAUUAAAUUUUUGUUUACCAAUAAAAAAACGCACAAUUAAUGUUGCAUUUGGAAAAAGAGGGGAUAUUUUUGUUAUAAUGUUAGAAACUAAAGUGAAUGGAGAUCCAUGAGGGUUUUCCACCUAGAGAUAAAAUGAGAUAUUUUGGUGUGGAAAUAUGGAAGUAGUGAUGGUGGUUGAUGCUAGUAGGUUUAUGCCUCUCACAAUUUGGGUGUUUGCAAAAUGAAAAGCCACUAUGAGAAGGAUGAGCGAUCUUGUGAUAGGGAGGUUUUGAGUGGUAUCAGGUUUAGGGUAGAAUUUCAAGAGGGUUACUUUUUAUUUUCUUGGUGACUCAUGGAGUAGUAACAUGUCAUUGCUCUGAAGAGGCAAUUGUGAAGGACUAACAUGGGCUGGAAAGGUGUGCAAAUGGUACAAAUUUGCACUCGAUCAUUCUAGGAUUUGGGAAGUAGAGUUCCAUGAGGAUUUUCAAGAAAAGAAAGGAGAAGUUUCUUAACUAGUUGAUUUUGUUUUACAAGGAAAUGUACUUGUACAAGGAAAUUUACUCUUUACACUUGUGGAGAUAUGUGGAAUCCAUAAAGUAUGUUCUGAUGAAUGGCAAUUUACCUACCAAAGUCUUUCCAACCAAGAUUCCCCAAUCUACUCAUGGGACUCAAAAGAAAGUCCAUCUGCAGUAGGCCUUCAACUAAAUUCCUCAGUAUACAUAUUCUUGAAGCAAUUCAGCUUUAUCAUGGCUGAAAAGAAGUGCGACUUCAACAUUUUCCCCAUAUCUUAACAGUAAAAUAGUUUUCCAUUAAUUAUAUAUGUAUCUAUGUCCAAACAGGAUAGGAGGAAACCUAGUCUACAAAUUUACCACAUGUUCCUUGAGCAUGUGAGAAUCUUGGUUGGAAACCUAGUAUUAACUUGUUGGUUUGCACCUUUUCACCUUUUUCUUAUCAUCCAACACCUGUACUUCCAUUGCUUUUCAAUCUUUUUUCCCCUUUUAUCAAACUUCCCAGUAAUAAGAUAUUAUUUUUUUCCUUGGCAAUAUACAAAUAUUGUGGGAGCAAAAAGAGCAGCAAUACAGAGUAUGCAUUUGAUGGGGAAAGAAUCUUGCUAUGUUUUUUUUGCCCAUCAGUUGGGGCUUUAUUGUUGUAUUUCAAGUGUAUGACUAGUUGCAACAUGCAAGCAGCAUACAUGUGUAUAAUGCAGUGGCUUCGGAAUUAGCAUCUAAGUAUGAUAAGUUGGUUGAGUGUAAAUUCCACUAACACACAUGAUAAAUUGCUUUUGGUUCAUUGAUCUGUGAUAAAUUUAUAUUCUUCUCACAGGAUUAGUCAGUAGUUUUAACAUCAGUUCUAAGAGCAGGGUAGCUGCUUGUACCUGCUUUCUGGUUUGGGUGCAAGUGCUAACAUUAUUGUGUUGACUUCUACCCUUUCAGUAAAUGAUAUAUUUAUGUGCUGUAUGGGCAAAUUAAGGACCGAAGAAGUAGAUCUGUGUGUUUUAUUGUGGUUGCUUCCUUAAACGUAGUUUUCUUGAAUAUCUUCAAAGAAAUGCCCCAUCUAUGAUUUGACUUGAAUGCCUAUACAGCUGGAAGGAGAGGCAACUGUUCGAGCAAUUUGUUUGGCAGGUUUUGUUAAUACUCCUCUCUAUGUAGUUCAUGUAAUGAGCAUUGAUGCUGUAGAAGAAAUAGCUAGAACUCGAAAAAAUGGUCUUGAACUCUCUAAUCUUUUAAAUCUGUUUAAUUUGUGCUUUGAUUGAGUGUCAUGUUAUCUAUUACCUGUGUAAUCUUAAGCAUCUUUUUUGUAUUCUAUUAAGCCACCUUAUCAUUUUAUUUUAUUUUUCAGUUUACUUUAUUGACCGACAUUUCAUUGUAUUGUCUUUAUUGCCACAAUAAAACCACUCAAUUUGUAGACAUUAUUUUUAAAAAAAGGUUUAGUUUCCUACCAUUUUGUGAUUGUGCGAUUUGAACCCUAGAACCAUCUUGUUCAUCUUGGUUGAUUGAAUCUCUGUAGUGUCGUCUCCAGUAAUUCUCUUCACGCUGGUAAGCUUUUUCUCAACCUUCCAACUCUCUGAUCUCACCCUCCUUAUUUUGGUUUACUUAAGAGCACAUAGACUGUACCCUCUCUAUUUUUAUCUUGUUUGUGUGGAUUUAAGACAUUUUCUCUCAUGCACCUUACAACACUAAAUUUUUACAUGUGCAUCACAUAAUUAAUUUAUUCUUUUUAAACAAAGAUAACAUUCAUCCAGAACUCUGUAAAAUCUGCUACGUUUGCUCCCACUUCUGCAACUUACUACUUGUAAUUGCCCAAAUAUUGAUGACAGCUAUAUAUUUCCAUAGUACAUGUAUUAUUGUCUCUUCUUCUCAGCUAGAGAUUGGACAGUAAGGGUUUUUACUAACAUUUUUCUUCAAAUGUUACUUCAGUUGAUAAUGAUUCAUUAUUUGCCCUCCAUAGGAAAUGUUUUAUGACAUUUGGGUUACUUUAAUCUCCUUAUCUUCGCCCACCUCUCUUCAAUCUUUCCUUUGAUUUUCUAGCAUUCUUCCUUUGCUUCCUUUUCCUCUCUUUAGCCAAUUAAUAAGCACUCCCAAUUUAGAACUCCCUAGUCUCACUGCAAUUCCAGAUUAACUUAUCUCCUUCCCCACCUAUGCUAAUAGGUAAACUACAUAUCAAUAAAGCCUCCUCAUUACUGACAUGCUCCUUCACUACAUCUCCCUUCUUCCAUACCCUUAAAUCUUCUACAAUAAGCUCACUAACUCUUGCAUCUGCUCCUAGUGACGUGACUGGAGAUUGCACACUGGAUAUGAAGUUUACAUAUCCAGCAUCCAGAAAUAAUAAUUUGUUAAUGAAAUAAUUAGACUCAAAAGGGUUUGAUUUCUCUGGAGUUUUGGCUGUUUCUGUUUGUACCGGGGAUGAAUAAUUUCUCUUAAAGGACUUGAGCUUGUUCUGAAAUUCAUUUUUUGAUUUAAAGAUUUCUUUUAUUUGGCACUUGAUAUAUACUCUUGUUGAUCACUUUCUUUCAAGGUUUUGGCACUUUCAUGUCACUUUGUUUCUCUAAGUAUAUGUCAUAACAAACCUUCAAUCUUUACUUAUAUAUCAACGAUGUUUUAUAGCUGUAUAUGUAUGACAUAUGUAUAUAGCUACUAGAAUUUAGUAGUUGAAUGGUAUUGAUCCAUGUUUGGAAGCUGUAUGGAGAACCCAUUUUAUGCAGUAGGGUUAUCUGGGCAAGAUUUGUGAGUCUAGUUUCUAUAUUAGUUUCUAUAAUUUUCAUUGCUUCUUUGUAUUUUGAUUCAUCUUUCUUUCUACCACCCUAAAUAUAUUUAACAAAGCUUUAUAGUAUUUUGCUUAUUUCUAUUGUGUUUAUGGUGUUUACAACACCAAUCUAUCAUCUUUAAUGGAGUUGACAGUGGGGUAUCAUUCCAAAGGUUGAACCUUGCUAGUGUGAUAAAGUACAAAAAAAUCUAGCCCAUUUGGGCAAUUGACAUGUGAUUAUUUUUUAUAUGAAUAUCCUGCAACUGCUCACAAGAGAAGCACCACAAGUGUUGGUUCCAUUUGGCUCCUUUUAUCUGAACUCCUGAUUUUUCACAAGCUGAAGAAGCACAUAAGGCACAUCCAUUUAUAUAUAUUACUGUUGGACACACACACACACACAGAGAGAAUGAAGGGAUAUUAAAGAAGUAGGGACAAAAGAAGGGGCUACAACAGACAAAAAGGGGAUAUACCUCAAUAAUCUUUGUUUUUUUAAUCAAUAUACUUCAAUAAUGUUCCUGGGAAUAACCCAAUGAACCCCAAACAACGUAAAUAUAAAGAGCAUAACAGUCUUGCAAUACAGAAUAAAAAAAAGAGUAUUGAAAGAAUACGCUAAGUCGCUUUUGCCAGUGUUGCUAUACUACAUUUAGACUCUGUUUUGAUUUUUGGCCCCUCAUCUUCUUCCUCAUCAUCCUCAUUGAAAGAAUACUCUACAUCCUUCACAGCUUUGGAACUUGAUAGAGUAACAAUCUCUGGGACCUCUUCACCAACAAUAACUGUAUCAGCUAGCAACACCUAGAAUUUCUGAGUUUUUGGGUUGUUGGUCUCAGCCUGCAAGUUAUGGAAUAAUGGUGACAUGUUAACUACUAUGCAUUGGUUUCAGUAUUCGAUCAUUCUUAGCAUUAAGACUAAGACCCGACUCAUGAAACUCGAGGCGAAUUCUAGUCCUUGCAGUUUUAGAAUCUUGCUUGCAGCCAAUUUGAGGGCAUCCUUCUCAACUACUGAGAGAGCAGCAAGAUAUGCACAUAUAAUCACACUAUUCGAAUCAUAGUAAAGGUUCUCAUGGUUGCUUGAAACACUCAGUUUCAGAUCAAAAUCUCUUCCGCUUUGAAAAAUUAGAGGGUAACAAAUAUCAACAUUCUUUGCAUUCAGCUUGACCUUAAUUCUUGUUGGUUCCAAUAUGGCCUUCUCUGUGUCAUUCAUUAAUGAAGCAUGUGAAACCUUCUUUUCCUCAUCAAUAAUCUUUGAAGUUUUGCAACUACAAAACUCCUAAUCACUAAUGAAGUUAAGAUUGCAGCUUUCUUUACAUUUGUUAACUCAACAUUAUCUUUCAAAUUAUUUAUUGAUCAUCAUUACAUUUGUUGCUAAAACUAAAAGUAUUCAAUGCAGGUGGUAAAAGAUAUGGAAAUUCUACAUAUCAUUAUAAAUGGUUUAAUUAUAUAGAGAGUUAGUGAUGAAGGGUCAGGUUAUUAGUCAAAUCAAUGUUGUUACUUGAACUACAAAUAUAUAUGGCUUAUAUAGAGGACGGUUUAAGUUUGUUCAAUGUUGUUAUAACAGUGAUUUGAUACAGCCUAUCUAAACUCCAAGAGUACUUUUUGAUCUAAAGAGAUACAUAUCAUCUUAGUACUAGCAGUACUACUUGGAUAUAGAUAAUCAAUAUAUGUUCUCCUAUCAUUUUACAGAGUUACAAUAGUUAGUGCCUACACUUCACAAUCUCCAAAUCGACAAUACUGUUGGAUUUCAAGUGUCUAUAUAUUACUGAUUGCAGGUUUGGUUGUAGAUAUGCAUGCAUGUUCUUAAAGAUUAUCUAAGAGUUUAUCAUGAUCAAUAUUCAGCAGCCUUACUAGAAAUGGGGUAACUUUAGUAGUGAUUGUUUUUGUUUUAGCAUAGAGAAAAUGCAAGUGAAACUGUUUAGACAAAUUGUUUUUUACUAGAGUUGAUGAUGCUCCCACUGUAACAGGAAGAGGCUACUGUUUAGACACUCUCUUUGUAUUGACAUUAUGCAAUCUUUGAAUAAUCCCUAUAGGAAAAAUUAAUUUAUUGUGGUGCAUUUUUUUCUCUUUCAUACAGAUUUUUUUUCUUGUGAAGAGGUGUUGCCUAGUGCGUGGACAAAAAACUACUCCAGUAAGGAGAUAGAUAGGCCUCUUGGGUUGGGGGCUUUUCCUAGGAAUGGCAAAUGGUUAGAUGAAAGUAAAAACAACAUUUCUCUCUGGUUGAAGCUGUUCUACCCAAGCCACAAUGCCCAGGUGCACAUUGUUAUAGAUGACAUAUAAUUUUAGUCCAUAGAGGAGCAGGACAGUUGAAAAAUUUGAAUGAAUGUGGACAUUUUUAAUUAAUGUUUAGAAGCAAGAAAUGUGUUCUAUACAUUUAGUAGUUUGUAAGUUAUAGGUUUUGGAUUCAAAUUGGUCCACCCCAAUGUAUAUAGCCCAUAACUACAUUAAUGUGAAUUUUCCACUGGGUUUAUAUGAAUGAAUGUGUUUGAUUUAUUAUAUUA
This is a long non-coding RNA of Carya illinoinensis, 6473 nucleotides long. RefSeq lists it as uncharacterized. NCBI's taxonomy places the organism in Eukaryota, Viridiplantae, Streptophyta, Magnoliopsida, Fagales, Juglandaceae. The transcript has 5 exons. The record is from RefSeq and is a predicted model, not a curated record.